This 58-nucleotide transfer RNA is filed under the name Ancylostoma ceylanicum. It matches the Rfam family "tRNA", at positions 8 to 63 of the family's 71-position model. From Rfam's summary of the family: Transfer RNA (tRNA) molecules are approximately 80 nucleotides in length. Their secondary structure includes four short double-helical elements and three loops (D, anti-codon, and T loops). Further hydrogen bonds mediate the characteristic L-shaped molecular structure. tRNAs have two regions of fundamental functional importance: the anti-codon, which is responsible for specific mRNA codon recognition, and the 3' end, to which the tRNAs corresponding amino acid is attached (by aminoacyl-tRNA synthetases). tRNAs cope with the degeneracy of the genetic code in two manners: having more than one tRNA (with a specific anti-codon) for a particular amino acid; and 'wobble' base-pairing, i.e. permitting non-standard base-pairing at the 3rd anti-codon position. Lineage: Eukaryota; Metazoa; Nematoda; Chromadorea; Rhabditida; Ancylostomatidae. The record is from Rfam by way of RNAcentral.
UGGCUCAAUCGGUAGAGCGUCUGACUACCAGUCGGGCAGUCGCUGGUUCGAGUCCGGU